UACAGAGGGUGCAAGCGUUAUUCGGAAUUACUGGGCGUAAAGCGCGCGUAGGCGGAUUGGUAAGUCAGUUGUGAAAGCCCUGGGCUCAACCUAGGAACUGCAUCUGAUACUGCUAAUCUAGAGUCUAGUAGAGGGAAGGGGAAUUCCAGGUGUAGCAGUGAAAUGCGUAGAUAUCUGGAGGAACAUCAGUGGCGAAGGCGCCUUCCUGGACUAAGACUGACGCUGAGGUGCGAAAGCGUGGGUAGCGAACGGGAUUAGAUACCCCGGUAGUCCACGCCGUAAACGAUGUCAACUAGUUGUUGGUCUUAUUAAAAAGAUUAGUAACGAAGCUAACGCGAUAAGUUGACCGCCUGGGGAGUACGGUCGCAAGAUUAAA
This 376-nucleotide ribosomal RNA is filed under the name uncultured bacterium. RNAcentral describes it as "bacterial SSU rRNA". It matches the Rfam family "Bacterial small subunit ribosomal RNA", at positions 524 to 898 of the family's 1533-position model. The record is from RNAcentral.